UGGGGAAUCUUGCGCAAUGGGCGAAAGCCUGACGCAGCCAUGCCGCGUGAAUGAUGAAGGUCUUAGGAUUGUAAAAUUCUUUCACCGGGGACGAUAAUGACGGUACCCGGAGAAGAAGCCCCGGCUAACUUCGUGCCAGCAGCCGCGGUAAUACGAAGGGGGCUAGCGUUGCUCGGAAUUACUGGGCGUAAAGGGCGCGUAGGCGGACAUUUAAGUCAGGGGUGAAAUCCCAGAGCUCAACUCUGGAACUGCCUUUGAUACUGGGUGUCUUGAGUGUGAGAGAGGUAUGUGGAACUCCGAGUGUAGAGGUGAAAUUCGUAGAUAUUCGGAAGAACACCAGUGGCGAAGGCGACAUACUGGCUCAUUACUGACGCUGAGGCGCGAAAGCGUGGGGAGCAAACGGGAUUAGAUACCCAGGUAGUCCCUGAGCGGGCUGGCAAGGCGCAU
This 447-nucleotide ribosomal RNA is filed under the name uncultured bacterium. Its description in RNAcentral is "bacterial SSU rRNA". It matches the Rfam family "Bacterial small subunit ribosomal RNA", at positions 355 to 825 of the family's 1533-position model. The record is from RNAcentral.